CCUACGGGUGGCAGCAGUGAGGAAUAUUGGUCAAUGGGCGGGAGCCUGAACCAGCCAAGCCGCGUGAGGGAAGAAGGUACAGCGUAUCGUAAACCUCUUUUGUCAGGGAACAAAGGCGCGGACUAGUCCCCGGAUGAGGGUACCCGGAGAAAAAGCAUCGGCUAACUCCGUGCCAGCAGCCGCGGUAAUACGGAGGAUGCGAGCGUUAUCCGGAUUUAUUGGGUUUAAAGGGUGCGCAGGCGGCCGCUUAAGUCAGCGGUAAAAGCGCGGGGCUCAACCCCGUCGAGCCGUUGAAACUGGGGGGCUGGAGUGGGAGAGAAGUACGCGGAAUGCGUGGUGUAGCGGUGAAAUGCAUAGAUAUCGCGCAGAACCCCGAUUGCGAAGGCAGCGUACCGGCGCCAAACUGACGCUGAGGCACGAAGGCGUGGGUAUCGAACAGGAUUAGAUACCCGUGUAGUC
Molecule: ribosomal RNA, 459 nt
Filed under: uncultured bacterium
Lineage: Bacteria
Description: partial 16S ribosomal RNA
Rfam family: Bacterial small subunit ribosomal RNA
Source: RNAcentral